GACGAACGCUGGCGGCGUGCUUAACACAUGCAAGUCGAACGGAAAGGCCCUGCUUUUGUGGGGUGCUCGAGUGGCGAACGGGUGAGUAACACGUGAGUAACCUGCCCUUGACUUUGGGAUAACUUCAGGAAACUGGGGCUAAUACCGGAUAGGAGCUCCUGCUGCAUGGUGGGGGUUGGAAAGUUUCGGCGGUUGGGGAUGGACUCGCGGCUUAUCAGCUUGUUGGUGGGGUAGUGGCUUACCAAGGCUUUGACGGGUAGCCGGCCUGAGCGGGUGACCGGCCACAGUGGGACUGAGAUACGGCCCAGACUCCUACGGGGGGCAGCAGUGGGGAAUAUUGCACAAUGGGCGGAAGCCUGAUGCAGCAACGCCGCGUGCGGGAUGACGGCCUUCGGGUUGUAAACCGCUUUCGCCUGUGACGAAGCGUGAGUGACGGUAAUGGGUAAAGAAGCACCGGCUAACUACGUG
This 468-nucleotide ribosomal RNA is filed under the name uncultured bacterium. RNAcentral's name for it is "partial 16S ribosomal RNA". It matches the Rfam family "Bacterial small subunit ribosomal RNA", at positions 28 to 507 of the family's 1533-position model. The record is from RNAcentral.